UUGUGAAGGUGAGUUGAGAAGCUUGCUGGAGGUAUCAGAAGUGCGAAUGCUGACAUGAGUAACGACAAUGGGUGUGAAAGACACCCACGCCGAAAGACCAAGGGUUCCUGCGCAACGUUAAUCGACGCAGGGUUAGUCGGUUCCUAAGGCGAGGCUGAAAAGCGUAGUCGAUGGGAAACAGGUUAAUAUUCCUGUACUUCUGGUUACUGCGAUGGAGGGACGGAGAAGGCUAGGCCAGCUUGGCGUUGGUUGUCCAAGUUUAAGGUGGUAGGCUGAAAUCUUAGGUAAAUCCGGGGUUUCAAGGCCGAGAGCUGAUGACGAGUCGUCUUUUAGAUGACGAAGUGGUUGAUGCCAUGCUUCCAAGAAAAGCUUCUAAGCUUCAGGUAACCAGGAACCGUACCCCAAACCGACACAGGUGGUCGGGUAGAGAAUACCAAGGCGCUUGAGAGAACUCGGGUGAAGGAACUAGGCAAAAUGGCACCGUAACUUCGGGAGAAGGUGCGCCGGCUAGGGUGAAGGAUUUACUCCGUAAGCUCUGGCUGGUCGAAGAUACCAGGCCGCUGCGACUGUUUAUUAAAAACACAGCACUCUGCAAACACGAAAGUGGACGUAUAGGGUGUGACGCCUGCCCGGUGCCGGAAGGUUAAUUGAUGGGGUUAGCGCAAGCGAAGCUCUUGAUCGAAGCCCCGGUAAACGGCGGCCGUAACUAUAACGGUCCUAAGGUAGCGAAAUUCCUUGUCGGGUAAGUUCCGACCUGCACGAAUGGCGUAACGAUGGCGGCGCUGUCUCCACCCGAGACUCAGUGAAAUUGAAAUCGCUGUGAAGAUGCAGUGUAUCCGCGGCUAGACGGAAAGACCCCGUGAACCUUUACUGUAGCUUUGCACUGGACUUUGAGCCUGCUUGUGUAGGAUAGGUGGGAGGCUUUGAAGCGUGGACGCCAGUUCGCGUGGAGCCAUCCUUGAGAUACCACCCUGGCAUGCUUGAGGUUCUAACUCUGGUCCGUAAUCCGGAUCGAGGACAGUGUAUGGUGGGCAGUUUGACUGGGGCGGUCUCCUCCUAAAGAGUAACGGAGGAGUACGAAGGUGCGCUCAGACCGGUCGGAAAUCGGUCGCAGAGUAUAAAGGCAAAAGCGCGCUUGACUGCGAGACAGACACGUCGAGCAGGUACGAAAGUAGGUCUUAGUGAUCCGGUGGUUCUGUAUGGAAGGGCCAUCGCUCAACGGAUAAAAGGUACUCCGGGGAUAACAGGCUGAUACCGCCCAAGAGUUCAUAUCGACGGCGGUGUUUGGCACCUCGAUGUCGGCUCAUCACAUCCUGGGGCUGAAGCCGGUCCCAAGGGUAUGGCUGUUCGCCAUUUAAAGUGGUACGCGAGCUGGGUUUAGAACGUCGUGAGACAGUUCGGUCCCUAUCUGCCGUGGACGCUUGAGAUUUGAGAGGGGCUGCUCCUAGUACGAGAGGACCGGAGUGGACGAACCUCUGGUGUUCCGGUUGUCACGCCAGUGGCAUUGCCGGGUAGCUAUGUUCGGAAAAGAUAACCGCUGAAAGCAUCUAAGCGGGAAACUUGCCUCAAGAUGAGAUCUCACUGGGAACUUGAUUCCCCUGAAGGGCCGUCGAAGACUACGACGUUGAUAGGCUGGGUGUGUAAGCGUUGUGAGGCGUUGAGCUAACCAGUACUAAUUGCCCGUGAGGCUUGACC
This 1695-nucleotide ribosomal RNA is filed under the name metagenome. RNAcentral's name for it is "bacterial LSU rRNA". It matches the Rfam family "Bacterial large subunit ribosomal RNA", at positions 1248 to 2925 of the family's 2925-position model. The record is from RNAcentral.